This 490-nucleotide ribosomal RNA is filed under the name uncultured bacterium. Its description in RNAcentral is "partial 16S ribosomal RNA". It matches the Rfam family "Bacterial small subunit ribosomal RNA", at positions 30 to 507 of the family's 1533-position model. The record is from RNAcentral.
AUUGAACGCUGGCGGCAGGCUUAACACAUGCAAGUCGAGCGGUAGCACAGGGGAGCUUGCUCCCUGGGUGACGAGCGGCGGACGGGUGAGUAAUGUCUGGGAAACUGCCUGAUGGAGGGGGAUAACUACUGGAAACGGUAGCUAAUACCGCAUAACGUCGCAAGACCAAAGAGGGGGACCUUCGGGCCUCUUGCCAUCAGAUGUGCCCAGAUGGGAUUAGCUAGUAGGUGGGGUAAUGGCUCACCUAGGCGACGAUCCCUAGCUGGUCUGAGAGGAUGACCGGCCACACUGGAACUGAGACACGGUCCAGACUCCUACGGGAGGCAGCAGUGGGGAAUAUUGCACAAAGGGCGCAAGCCUGAUGCAGCCAUGCCGCGUGUGUGAAGAAGGCCUUCGGGUUGUAAAGCACUUUCAGCGAGGAGGAAGGUGGUGAGCUUAAUACGUUCAUCAAUUGACGUUACUCGCAGAAGAAGCACCGGCUAACUCCGUG